RNAcentral lists this ribosomal RNA (1325 nucleotides) under metagenome. Its description in RNAcentral is "bacterial LSU rRNA". It matches the Rfam family "Bacterial large subunit ribosomal RNA", at positions 1561 to 2925 of the family's 2925-position model. The record is from RNAcentral.
AGUGGAUGGGGAGCAACCUAGUUGUGCGUGUGUAAAGGUAGUGCCAAGAAAAGCGAUGAUCAUGUUGAAAAUCAAUUCCCGGUACCCGAAACCGACACAGGUGGGCAAGUAGAGAAUACUAAGGGGCGCGAGGUAACUCUCUCCAAGGAACUCGGCAAAAUGACCCCGUAACUUAGGGAGAAGGGGUGCCACCGAGAGGUGGUCGCAGUGAAGAGGCCCAGGCGACUGUUUAGCAAAAACAUAGGUCUCUGCAAACUCGAAAGAGGAGGUAUAGGGGCUGACGCCUGCCCAGUGCCGGAAGGUUAAAGAAGUUGGUCAGUUUUAGGAUGAAGCUAGCGACUGAAGCCCCGGUGAACGGCGGCCGUAACUAUAACGGUCCUAAGGUAGCGAAAUUCCUUGUCGGGUAAGUUCCGACCCGCACGAAAGGCGUAACGAUCUGGGCGCUGUCUCGGAGAGAGGCUCGGCGAAAUAGGAUUGUCUGUGAAGAUACGGACUACCUGCAUUUGGACAGAAAGACCCUAUGAAGCUUUACUAUAGCUUGGAAUUGUGUUCGGGCUUCCUGUGCGCAGGAUAGGUGGGAGGCGUAGAAGGUAUUCUUGUGGGGAUACUGGAGCCAACGGUGAGAUACCACUCUCAGGAGGCUAGAAUUCUAACUUAAUUAAGGACAGUUUCAGGUGGGUAGUUUGACUGGGGCGGUCGCCUCCAAAAAGGUAACGGAGGCGUACAAAGGUUCCCUCAGACUGGUUGGAAAUCAGUCGAAGAGUGCAAAGGCAGAAGGGAGCUUGACUGCGAGAAGUACAGUUCGAGCAGGGUGGAAACACGGUCUUAGUGAUCCGACGGUGCUGUGUGGAAGGGCCGUCGCUCAACGGAUAAAAGUUACUCUAGGAUAACAGGCUGAUCUUCCCCAAGAGUUCACAUCGACGGGGAGGUUUGGCACCUCGAUGUCGGCUCAUCGCAACCUGGGGCGGAAGUACGUCCCAAGGGUUGGGCUGUUCGCCCAUUAAAGCGGUACGUGAGCUGGGUUCAGAACGUCGUGAGACAGUUCGGUCCAUAUCCGAUGUAGGCGUGAGAAUAUUGAGAGGAGCCUUCCUUAGUACGAGAGGACCGGGAAGGACGCACCGCUGGUGUACCUGUUAUGAUGCCAAUUGUAAACGCAGGGUAGCCAAGUGCGGAGAGGAUAACCGCUGAAAGCAUCUAAGUGGGAAGCCCACCUCAAGAUGAGUAUUCUGGUGUAAGGUCACGGGAAGACGACCCGUAAAUAGGCACGAGGUGGAAGUGCAGAGAUGUAUGAAGCCGAAGUGUACUAAUAGACCGUCGGCUUGACC